GAUGAACGCUGGCGGCGUGCCUAAUACAUGCAAGUCGAGCGAACGGACGAGAAGCUUGCUUCUCUGAUGUUAGCGGCGGACGGGUGAGUAACACGUGGAUAACCUACCUAUAAGACUGGGAUAACUUCGGGAAACCGGAGCUAAUACCGGAUGAUAUUUUGAACCGCAUGGUUCAAAAGUGAAAGACGGUCUUGCUGUCACUUAUAGAUGGAUCCGCGCUGCAUUAGCUAGUUGGUAAGGUAACGGCUUACCAAGGCAACGAUGCAUAGCCGACCUGAGAGGGUGAUCGGCCACGCUGGAACUGAGACACGGUCCAGACUCCUACGGGAGGCAGCAGUAGGGAAUCUUCCGAAAUGGGCGGAAGCCUGACGGAGCAGCGCCGCGUGAGUGAUGAAGGUCUUCGGAUCGUAUAACUCUGUUAUUAGGGAAGAACAUAUGUGUAAGUAACUGUGCACAUCUUGACGGUACCUAAUCAGAAAGCCACGGCUAACUACGUG
This 497-nucleotide ribosomal RNA is filed under the name uncultured bacterium. RNAcentral's name for it is "partial 16S ribosomal RNA". It matches the Rfam family "Bacterial small subunit ribosomal RNA", at positions 28 to 507 of the family's 1533-position model. The record is from RNAcentral.